RNAcentral lists this transfer RNA (72 nucleotides) under Bos taurus (domestic cattle). It matches the Rfam family "tRNA". From Rfam's summary of the family: Transfer RNA (tRNA) molecules are approximately 80 nucleotides in length. Their secondary structure includes four short double-helical elements and three loops (D, anti-codon, and T loops). The record is from Rfam by way of RNAcentral. Lineage: Eukaryota; Metazoa; Chordata; Mammalia; Artiodactyla; Bovidae. RNAcentral also lists the same sequence under 5 other names.
UCCCUGGUAGCUGAAACUGUAAAGCGACUGUCUACAAUGCAGGUGACCUGGGUUCGAUCCCUGGGUUGGGAA